UACAGAGGGUGCGAGCGUUAAUCGGAAUUACUGGGCGUAAAGGGCGUGUAGGUGGUUAUGUAAGUUUGAUGUGAAAGCCCCGGGCUUAACCUGGGAACUGCGUUGAAAACUGCAAGACUAGAGUUGGACAGAGGGUGGUGGAAUUUCCGGUGUAGCGGUGAAAUGCGUAGAGAUCGGAAAGAACAUCCGUGGCGAAGGCGGCCACCUGGGUCCAAACUGACACUGAGGCGCGAAAGCGUGGGGAGCAAACAGGAUUAGAUACCCUGGUAGUCCAUGCUGUAAACGAUGAGAACUGGAUGUGCGGAAGGGAUUAACCUUCUGCGUAUCGAAGCUAACGCGUUAAGUUCUCCGCCUGGGGAGUACGGCCGCAAGGUUAAA
RNAcentral lists this ribosomal RNA (378 nucleotides) under uncultured bacterium. RNAcentral's name for it is "bacterial SSU rRNA". It matches the Rfam family "Bacterial small subunit ribosomal RNA", at positions 524 to 898 of the family's 1533-position model. The record is from RNAcentral.